Molecule: unclassified non-coding RNA, 265 nt
Filed under: Hevea brasiliensis (rubber tree)
Lineage: Eukaryota; Viridiplantae; Streptophyta; Magnoliopsida; Malpighiales; Euphorbiaceae
Source: RNAcentral
AAUGCUUUUAUCUACUUGACUGGGUAAAACUUCUCUAGCAAUUAUUGUCCUCCAGUAUUAUUAUUAUUAUUAUUUGGCAUAAUCACAACAAAAUUUAAAAAAAUCAAAUUUGUUCACAUUUUCAAUUUUAUUCAAUUUUAGCCAAGAUUUUAAUUUUAUUAAUUUUAAGUUAACCUGAUCAUAUUGGUAUCAUUUUUGGUCAAUUAAGUAAGAAUUGGAACCUAUGCAUAAAACAAGCAUAACUACUUUAGUGGGAAAAACCAAG